CCUACGGGUGACAGCAGUCGAGAAUCAUUCACAAUGGGGGAAACCCUGAUGGUGCGACGCCGCGUGGGGGAAUGAAGGUCUUCGGAUUGUAAACCCCUGUCAUGUGGGAGCAAAUUAAAAAGAAAGUACCACAAGAGGAAGAGACGGCUAACUCUGGGCCAGCAGCCGCGGUAAUACAGAGGUCUCAAGCGUUGUUCGGAAUCACUGGGCGUAAGGCGUGCGUAGGCUGUUUCGUAAGUCGUGUGUGAAAGGCGCGGGCUCAACCCGCGGACGGCACAUGAUACUGCGAGACUAGAGUAAUGGAGGGGGAACCGGAAUUCUCGGUGUAGCAGUGAAAUGCGUAGAUAUCGAGAGGAACACUCGUGGCGAAGGCGGGUUCCUGGACAUUAACUGACGCUGAGGCACGAAGGCCAGGGGAGCGAAAGGGAUUAGAUACCCUUGUAGUC
RNAcentral lists this ribosomal RNA (446 nucleotides) under uncultured bacterium. RNAcentral's name for it is "partial 16S ribosomal RNA". It matches the Rfam family "Bacterial small subunit ribosomal RNA", at positions 338 to 795 of the family's 1533-position model. The record is from RNAcentral.